UACCGUGAAGUGGAAUCAGAAAUAUGCCUGCAGCAUAAUCACGGUCUGACAAAAAGAAACUACAUAUAAGGCCAAAGUUGUCUGCAUGAGGUAUCCUAACAAACCAAAGUCCUGCUGUCCAGGGCGACAAAGUAAAUUUAACCGAUAUAUGGGGUGAAAGUUAUUG
RNAcentral lists this non-coding RNA (166 nucleotides) under uncultured Sphingobacterium sp. The record is from RNAcentral. Lineage: Bacteria; Pseudomonadati; Bacteroidota; Sphingobacteriia; Sphingobacteriales; Sphingobacteriaceae.